Long non-coding RNA from Diorhabda carinulata, 809 nucleotides. RefSeq lists it as uncharacterized. The transcript has 2 exons. Lineage: Eukaryota; Metazoa; Arthropoda; Insecta; Coleoptera; Chrysomelidae. The record is from RefSeq and is a predicted model, not a curated record.
GUAAAUAAUAAGACCUAAUUUUUCUUUUUAAAUAUUAGUUGCCAUGGAAAUUAUGUUUGACAGUUACGGUAGAUUUUACUGACAUUGUAAAUUCAUACAUAUAGUAUCGAUAAGAUUAUUUAAGUACAGUUGUUAUUUUAUCGUAGAUCAUGAAUGACAGUUUAAGUAUGAGAAAAAAGAUUGAAUUAUUACGUCUUUUAGGAGACACUGACAGAAGCAUCAGACGAUUCGUCUUUUGGAUAUUGCAAGACAUUCAGAUGGUCCUAGGAUUAACUGUGUUCGAUGAGUAUUCAGUUCAUUAUGCCAAAGUUGUGAGGAACGGACAUUCCAUUCAAACUGAUCGAAGAGUCACCGUGACUUUUAAACCUAACAAUUUUAGACUUCAUUCCCUGGGGUCUAUUAAAAAAAAGUUAGUGAAAAUCGACCAAAGUACAGAAACGGAUGAUGUGCAGUAAUUCGGCAGGUACUCACCGAAAUUACCCCGAAAGAACCGAGGAAUAUAAUGAAAAACAGCAAAACAAAUAUCAAACUAGAUUGUGGAGUUGUAGAGCAUAGUCUAGGUUUAGAUAAUUUUUGUUACAGUUUUCUUUUUUUCAGUCAAUUUCAUCUAUUUGAAGUUAUAUAUUUAAUGUAGUUCUUUUGUUAAAUACCGAUAUUACUAAAUAUCUUUUCUAUACUGGUAGUUUAUUCUGAGAAAUAUUUAAAAAAAUUAUAUCUCUGGUGCCAUGUAUUGAUAUAGGAUGGUCUUUUGUAACAAUUAGCUUAAGAAGUUGUUUAUUAUUGUUAUUAAUAAAUAUUAUUUAUGAGAA